This is a long non-coding RNA of Labeo rohita (rohu), 434 nucleotides long. RefSeq lists it as uncharacterized. NCBI's taxonomy places the organism in Eukaryota, Metazoa, Chordata, Actinopteri, Cypriniformes, Cyprinidae. The transcript is spliced from 3 exons. The record is from RefSeq and is a predicted model, not a curated record.
CAAAAUGUGAAUGCAUUAUUGAAUCACAGAGGUAACUGAAUCAUGUCUGGAUGUUACAGGGACAGAUGAUACAUGCGUGUGUUUAUCCGGUGAAGAGUGACUGAUGAAGGAAUCCUGCCAUCAUAGGCUUUCAAUCUUUUGUGGUGGAGCAGGUGACGGCAGCAUUUGUGGGAAGAAAGGAAGACCUGAAACAAAAAUAUAAAACUGGUGUGAACAGUGAGAAAGGAGAAAUCCACAGCAGCAUCCUGGAAAUGGUCUGGUGCCAUGGAUGAGAUCCUCCAUCACUCCACCUGCCCUUUACUGCCUCAUCUGAUCCAGAUGUUGCUGUGGCCUCUUCAUCCUCAGUGAGCUCAGAGCCAGCGAGAGCAUCUAGAAAAAGACUAAAAGACAUUGAUUAUUACAGGGACCCCCAAUCCCCUUGAGAAAAGUGCCUU